GAGUUUGAUCCUGGCUCAGGACAAACGCUGGCGGCGUGCUUUACACAUGCAAGUCGAGCGAUGAGAUCCCUUCGGGGAAGGAUUAGCGGCGAACGGGUGAGGAACACGUGAGGAAUCUGCCUUCAACACUGGGAUAACUCCGGGAAACCGGGGCUAAUACCGGAUACGAGACCUGCAGGCAUCUGCGGGUCUGGAAAGUUUUUCGGUUGAAGAUGACCUCGCGGCCUAUCAGCUUGUUGGUGAGGUAAUGGCUCACCAAGGCGACGACGGGUAGCCGGCCUGAGAGGGCGACCGGCCACACUGGGACUGAGACACGGCCCAGACUCCUACGGGAGGCAGCAGUGGGGAAUAUUGGGCAAUGGAGGAAACUCUGACCCAGCGACGCCGCGUGCGGGAUGAAGGCCUUCGGGUUGUAAACCGCUUUCAGCAGGGAAUAAGCGCAAGUGAAGGUACCUGCAGAAGAAGCACCGGCUAACUAUGUGCCAGCAGCCGCGGUAAUACAUAGGGUGCAAGCGUUGUCCGGAAUUAUUGGGCGUAAAGAGCUCGUAGGUGGUUCGCCACGUCGGAUGUGAAAAUCUGGGGCUUAACCCCAGACCUGCAUUCGAUACGGGCGAGCUAGAGUGUGGUAGGGGAGACUGGAAUUCCUGGUGUAGCGGUGGAAUGCGCAGAUAUCAGGAGGAACACCAAUGGCGAAGGCAGGUCUCUGGGCCAUUACUGACACUGAGGAGCGAAAGCGUGGGGAGCGAACAGGAUUAGAUACCCUGGUAGUCCACGCCGUAAACGGUGGGCACUAGUUGUGGGAACCUUCCACGGUUUCUGCGACGCAGCUAACGCAUUAAGUGCCCCGCCUGGGGAGUACGAUCGCAAGAUUAAAACUCAAAGGAAUUGACGGGGCCCCGCACAAGCAGCGGAGCAUGCGGCUUAAUUCGACGCAACGCGAAGAACCUUACCAAGGCUUGACAUAUACAGGAAUAUGGCAGAAAUGUCAUAGCCGCAAGGUCUGUAUACAGGUGGUGCAUGGUUGUCGUCAGCUCGUGUCGUGAGAUGUUGGGUUAAGUCCCGCAACGAGCGCAACCCAA
This 1079-nucleotide ribosomal RNA is filed under the name uncultured bacterium. RNAcentral's name for it is "bacterial SSU rRNA". It matches the Rfam family "Bacterial small subunit ribosomal RNA", at positions 9 to 1106 of the family's 1533-position model. The record is from RNAcentral.